This 504-nucleotide ribosomal RNA is filed under the name uncultured bacterium. RNAcentral describes it as "partial 16S ribosomal RNA". It matches the Rfam family "Bacterial small subunit ribosomal RNA", at positions 30 to 523 of the family's 1533-position model. The record is from RNAcentral.
AUUGAACGCUGGCGGCAGGCCUAACACAUGCAAGUCGAACGGUAGCACAGAGAGCUUGCUCUCGGGUGACGAGCGGCGGACGGGUGAGUAACGUCUUGGAAACUGCCCGAUGGAGGGGGAUAACUACUGGAAACGGUAGCUAAUACCGGAUAACGUCGCAAGACCAAAGUGGGGGACCUUCGGGCCUGACACCAUCGGACAUGUCCAGAUGGGAUUAGAUAGUAGGUGGGGUAAUGGCUCACCUAGGCGACGAUCCCUAGCUGGUCUGAGAGGAUGACCAGCCACACUGGAACUGAGACACGGUCCAGACUCCUACGGGAGGCAGCAGUGGGGAAUAUUGCACAAUGGGCGCAAGCCUGAUGCAGCCAUGCCGCGUGUAUGAAGAAGGCCUUCGGGUUGUAAAGUACUUUCAGCGGGGAGGAAGGCGAUAAGGUUAAUAACCUUGUCGAUUGACGUUACCCGCAGAAGAAGCACCGGCUAACUCCGUGCCAGCCGCCGCGGUAA